This 492-nucleotide ribosomal RNA is filed under the name uncultured bacterium. RNAcentral describes it as "partial 16S ribosomal RNA". It matches the Rfam family "Bacterial small subunit ribosomal RNA", at positions 29 to 507 of the family's 1533-position model. The record is from RNAcentral.
AGUGAACGCUGGCGGUAGGCCUAACACAUGCAAGUCGAACGGCAGCACAGUAAGAGCUUGCUCUUACGGGUGGCGAGUGGCGGACGGGUGAGGAAUACAUCGGAAUCUACUUUUUCGUGGGGGAUAACGGAGGGAAACUUACGCUAAUACCGCAUACGACCUACGGGUGAAAGCAGGGGAUCUUCGGACCUUGCGCGAUUGAAUGAGCCGAUGUCGGAUUAGCUAGUUGGCGGGGUAAAGGCCCACCAAGGCGACGAUCCGUAGCUGGUCUGAGAGGAUGAUCAGCCACACUGGAACUGAGACACGGUCCAGACUCCUACGGGAGGCAGCAGUGGGGAAUAUUGGACAAUGGGCGCAAGCCUGAUCCAGCCAUGCCGCGUGGGUGAAGAAGGCCUUCGGGUUGUAAAGCCCUUUUGUUGGGAAAGAAAAGCAGCAGGUUAAUACCCCGCUGUUCUGACGGUACCCAAAGAAUAAGCCCCGGCUAACUUCGUG